Molecule: long non-coding RNA, 29279 nt
Filed under: Coffea arabica (coffee)
Lineage: Eukaryota; Viridiplantae; Streptophyta; Magnoliopsida; Gentianales; Rubiaceae
Description: long non-coding RNA (CARA_LNC005218)
Source: RNAcentral
UUUUUUUUUUUUUUUGUAAAAAAAUGGUGAAAAUACAUCAAGAUAAGCAAGUGGGAAAAAAAGAAGAAAAAGAGACAAAGAUAAGCAAGUGAAAUUUAUCUUUGAAUCGUAAGGUAAAAACAAGGAAAUAAACAAGCAUCACUCGCCUUUUAUUUUCCAGUUCUUUUUUAUUUUUGUUUUUACCUUUAAUUAAACUUGUAGGGCCCUGCGUCUUUAAUUUAUGGUACUUUAGAUAGGGGGACAUGAGUUGCAGCACAUUCAACCUUCAAUUAGAUUUUUCAAAUUUUGAACUGCAGUUAAAUCUUCUCUUACCAAAUUCAAGAUCCAAAACGGGCCUAUACUCCCAUACGAAAACAGGCGCAGUUGGUUGGUAUAUUACUUCCAGCAUUAAAAAAUGCAGGCACGUAUUAAUCCAAGAAACUGCAGGCAAUUCUCGUUCUGACUGAUCUUUUUCGGCAACGGUAAUCCAAGAAACUUCUAAUUCAAGCCCGCAGCUUUGUACUGAAAUAUGUUUCUUCCACGCCAUUUUACAGCUUCUUUGGUAAUUGAAAACCAGGAAUUCAGCAACAAUAAUACACUUCGUAAUGGAGAUAGUUACAAAAGAAAAGAAAAGAAAGCAACCCAUUAUCGUGGACUUGACACCUCAAGUCCUCGCCUUCACGUAGCCCUUAUCUUUCUUGCAAGUAACACAAAAAAUUGGCCUUUGCUGUCUAAUCUUGUGGGUCAAACAAAACCUGCAGCAUUUCAGCCUACUUCCUGAUUCCCUUUUUCCUGCUUUUACUCUCUUUUAACACCGACACGAACUUCUAGGCAAUUGAUCACGUUCCAAAUUACAUGGGUUUUGUACUUGAAAGGGACGGAAAAGGCCGUGAGUCAGAUACUCAAGAUCGUGUUCAUAUUAAUCUGAAGAAAAUUUAACAAAGAAAGAUUCCACAAGCAAAUGAUUAAGCAUCACUCUAUUUGUCUUCAAUAAUGUGCUGUCAACACAGAUUUUGUUAUGUCUUAGGACACGGUGGAGUGCUAGCUCCACCAACUGAGGCAAUGAUUAACCACUUCCUUUUUGUUUCCAAACCCCCUCUUUAGCUACUCGAUCAUUCCUCCUCCUAAAAGUCCCUAAAAAGCUGUUUAGCAAGACUAUAAAACUCCCUAAAAAUCUUGAAUCUUGCUUUUGAUCAUCAAGAUUCAACGUCUAAAAUCUUGACGUGUUUUGAAUCAUAGAUAUGGACGGGAAAUAAAACAAUUGCCAAAACAAUUUCGGCAGCCUAAAUGGCCUAUAUAAAUGACUGAAAACCACAUAGCAGUCAAACACAUUAAUAGUAUUAUUAUUUUUUGCUUAAGAUUAGUAGUAUUCAGGUUAAGUUUAAUGUAUUGGGAUAUGGCGUUGGCCAAAUGAGAUUUACCAUACCGUACAGUUCUUGAAUGGAAGGAAAUAGAGGCAGAUGAUAAUGGAGAUGUAAUGUGCCAAUUAAUUCAUCUUAGUUGCUUGGUCGAGUCAAGUCUACUAGUUCUAUUUUUAUUCAACCAGUCUUGGUAAACUCGUACAUGAGCUUUGAAAAUAGAAAUAGAAAGAGGAAUAGUAGUUAUUCUAGCAAAAAAGUGCUUCAAUUUCUGCGAAUUUUACCGUGUGAAAUGUGAAUAUGCUGCUUCGUUUACUUAUACAGGAGUACUUGUUUUCGUGUGAUACUGCUAUACUAGCUUGUUUGCUUGGUUCUUUUCCUACUUUGUAUUCGGCAGCUCUUCCAAUAACUUGUCAUCCAUUUUCUAUGCAUGAGAAUCACGAAAUGACAAAUAUAAAACUCUGUUAUAGUGUUCUUACAGUCAAUGAAGGGGACUCAGACAAUGAAUUCUUUUACAUUAAGUUGUCAAUUUCCUACAGCAACCGGCAUCCCAACUGACAUUGAUGCGGGUUACCUAGUCAAUUCCUCUUAUUAAGAAAUACCCAGAAGUUUGACUAGUUCCUUUUAAUUUCUUUUUCAGGCAUCAAGUAUCCAAGGUUCAACAUGGAGAGGGUUGAGUUGGAUUGGGUGGUUAAAAAAUAUACCAUUUCCGUGAAGGUAAUUAGAAGGGAGUGUUGAAUCUCCUCAAUGAGAAACAAAGGUGUGAAAUUAUUGGAUUAAACUAUCUUAAAAACAUGAGGAGAUAUUAAUUGCUAUUUAUAUGGAUUGAACUCUAAUAGCUCGCCCAUAUAAUUGGUUUAUAUUAUUGUUUUCUAGCUUUGACGUAAACUUUCUCUGAAUUAAUGAUGAAGUGUGAACCAUAACUUGAAGCGUGAGUGGCUAAAUAGAGUGUGAAGAUAGAAAGAUAACCUUCUUUCUUGUCGUCUUCUUCUUUGAAUAUAUGCGAAUGGUUUUCGACUAUUACAGUCCAUUAGCACUUGCAAGCGCCUCCUACACUCCAGAGUAGAAAACAGAUUUAGAGAUGCAAAUGAGUGGAACUUAAUCGAAUAACUCGCGGAUUUGCUCGAUCAAAGCUCGAGGUCGAACUUAAGUUGAUCGAGUUCGAACAGUUCGAAUUAUUUGAUGAAUCAAGUUCAGACUUAAUACAUGAAGGUUGAAAGCUAGUCGAACUUAAUCAAACACAACUGAGCUUCACACAAGUAUAUUUUAUAUUUAUUAGUAUAAAAUAUCUAUUUUGUCCCUUUAUUUAAAAUAAUACAAAAUAUAAAUUUAUAUUUGUUAAAUUCGAUUAAACUCAAUUAAGUUCGACUGAAUUCAAAUAAAACUUGAUUCGAUAAGCUCGAGUUCGAGUUCGAAUAAUACAAAAUAAAAUCGGAUUCAAACUCGAACUAUGAUUCAAUUUUUUUUAACUCGAGUCGAAUUUAAGUAGUGUGCUGCUCGAGCGACUCAAGUUUGCACUCAUAGUUUCACCAUAUAUUUUUAAUAUAUAAGAAGUUAAAUCUAUACUUAUACGUGUAAUUUAUUGUAAUUAAGAGCAAUGAAAUGUGAAUUUGGAUUUAAUAUCACGGCUAAUGUUUCUCGAGCUCUCGUUGUCAAUCUUUUUUAUUUUUUUUUCGACAACGAUAAUAUUUGUGUAAUUUAAUCUAUCAUAUUUUAGAGAAAGGGGAGCCUAAAGAGACUGUGUAAGAGACUAACAGACAUGCUGCAGAUCUGACUAGACCCAAGUAACACAGCUAAAGAGCUCUCGUUGUCAAUCAUUGUAGUGGAACGCGAAAACUUUGGGAUUGAGCCAACUUGAUCGUACUGCAGAUUUUUGAAGGAGUCGUAAAGAGACCUGGUCAAUUCUUAUAUGUCGACAAUUAGUGAUCCAAAUGCAGCAAUUUGAGAGUUGAAACUUAAGGUUGUGUUUGGAUUGCAUUUUCCGUCAUUUUUCAUGGAAAAAUUACUGUAGCGAUUUGAUAUAUGUGAGGGAAAAAGGUGAUAGGGAAAUGUGAUCACGGAAAACGAUAAUAUUUUCCGACGAAAACCUUCAAUCCAAGCAAGGCCUAAGGUAAUACACUUUCUCAUUAUUGAACGAUAUCUGAUGAUCAAACACGGUAGUCCAGAGGGGGAUUACCUGUUAGCAGGGACGGGAUAAUUUGUCAUCAGUUAUUGUUUUAUGGGAAAAAAAAAUCAUUUGACAAAAACUCAUCACAUUAAAGAUGAACCCCAAAAAGAAAAAAAAAAAAAAAAAAGCACACAACAAUUAUCUCGAAAAAGAGAAGCCAACAAGUGUACAAAAGUAGAAUAAUGGAAGAUGGGACACAUUCAGCAAAUUAUUACAUCAACCCAAUACUUUUUACAUGGACACAUUCAGCAAAUUAUUCUGUUGUCCUGCUAAACAUUUUUCCCAUUGCAUAUUUCAUUCCAUUCAUUAGAAAGUAAUAAAAAAUCGAAGCAAAAGAAUCCAGACUGAACACUUUGAAGGGCUCACUCAUCUUUCUUGGUCAUGAAGUCAAUGGUCAUGUUGAAAACCCUUCAAAAAUUAAGCAAAAGGUCAAAUUUAUUACCAAAAAUAAUUGACUUGGUCCUAAGGUAUAAAAUGGAGAUACCUCAAGAAUAUUACCCCAUUUAUCCGCAUGUUAUUUAGAAGUUUUUCGAACACGAAAAAGCUAUACUAAAAUGGGUAAGCAUCCUAAAUUUCAACUCCAUCCUUUUUUUUUUUGAAAAAAAAAUUUCCCCCAUACCUUUUUCCGGCUUCAAGAAAGAAAACAACUACAUCUGAUUGUAUUUUAUGUUAUUGAUAAGAUUAUCGAACAGGACACAAGAGGGUCUUGAUUAAAUUAAUUGUAAAAUAUCGAACUAACCCUCUUCUUAGCAGCUGCUGGGGACGGUUGGUUCGUUUCACUCCAUUUUCCUAAUUCACACACGAGAAUUAAGAAUGUAAUGCAGUAUACAUACAAAGCAAAUUUUUUUUUUUAAAAAAAGAAAUACAAUAUUAAAGUUGUUAACAAAAUUCAAACAUAAACAAAAUUCUGAGUUCAAAUUUGAUGUGCAUAAUUUUGCAAUUGAAACAUCGGUUGCAAAUUUUUAAGCUAAGUUGAAAAUAUUUUUCUUUUCUGUAAGAAAAAUGUUGUCAAUACAUGUGGAAUAUAAAAGUCAAAGAAGAAAUGAAUAAAGAUUAAGAAAUUUGGUCGAAUUCAAUAGUAAUUAUAAAAAACUUUUAAGUACUACUAAUAUCUUGCAAAGAAAAGAAAAGAUGAAACUUGACUGUAAAAAAAAAAUGAAUCUUAUAUGCACCGUUAAUGUAUACACGGUUUAAAAUGAUCUCCUCACAAGUAUUAGUUAAUGAAUGCAUUACCAAAUUUAAAACAUGGUAUUAAUCCACUCAACCCUUUGAUAAAUACUCCCUCCGUCCCACUUUUAUAGUCCUGUUUUCCUUUUUCGUCUGUCCCAAAUUAUAGUCCACUUUCUAAUUGAAGAAUGUAGUUGUAUUUUAAUUUUCCUAAAAUAUCCUUAUUCAAUGUAAGUUGUUGUUACUAUAAACCUACCCCAUUUAAUGAGAGUUGAUUCUUUUUUUACUAUCAAUUCAAGUUCCCAUAAAGUUGUACUCUAAUUAAUGUGAGGGUAUUUUAGGAAAAUAACUAAUUAAAUUGAUUGUUCCAACAAAGUUAACUAUUUUUUAUUAAACUGUGUGAAAAAAGAAUCAGGACUAAGUGGAACGGAGGGAGUAAUUGAUAUCCCCACCCACAUUUAAGAACCCAUGCUUUUCCUUUAAAAAAAAAAAGAAAAAAAAAAGAACCCAUGCUGCAAAUAAAAACAUGUCUCUUGACUUGACAUGAGUCCGAUAUUUAGAUGAGAUUUCAGGUCAUAUCAAUAAGUAUACAACUACUCCUAUAUUUUCCUUUUAUUUUUUGGGUGGUAAUCCAAGUAACAUAAAAAAACAUAAAAGUUUGAGCUGGUAAUCAAAAGCCAAAAGUAAUUAAAUCAUACUAUUUUUCCUAUAUCUAGCUAUUUUUUUAUUUUGAUAAAGGUAAUUUUCUGUAUGUUUGUUUUAAAUUUAUAGCAAGAUGGAAAUAAGAGCUCCAAAAUUUUUUUUUUUUCUUAGUCCAAAUUUCCAAAUUGAUACAGAUAGACAAUGGGAAGCAAAUCCAAUGAGCGUUUUUGCCAACGCCAACUCUUCAUCCCUGGCCCUUAGCCCGACUUCGCAGCUCCCUCCAAUUUCUCUCUCAUGACCGUCUUCCUUCCAAAAGUCUCUUUUGACCAUCGACACCACCAUCACCACGUCUCCCUCUCCUUCUUCCCUUCUUCCUCCAAACUUUCCUCCUGUAACCUGAUUAUUUUAUUAUCACCAUUUCACAUUUCUUCCCUUUCAUAUAUAUAUAUAUAUAUAUAUAUACACACACACACACACACCUUUUUUGCCUACAUUUCCACCUAUAUAUGUUGAUCAAUACUCAUCUUUCUUUGAAUUUCUUUUUCUUGGUCUUAUUCUCUGUCCUUUGAAUCCUUAAAACCCAUUGAAAGGAUUGGAUAACGAAAAGGUGGGAUUGAAGAAAAAGGCAGGAUUUUUAUUUAUUUAUUUGCUGAAAAUGGGUAGCUGCUUUUCAACCACCAAGGUGAGUGGUUCUAACAGCAACACCCCGACCACCACCACCACCACCACCGUGAGCCACCAGCAGCAGAAUAGGAAGGUGUCCACCAAGGCAACCACCUCAGGUAAUAACUCAGUGGCCUCAAAAGAACAGGAGUUGCAUUAUAAAGGAAAAGGAAGCCAUCCUAAUCAGCAGAAACAGAAGAAUACAGAGCAGGGCAAAAAGCCCAGUUCUAGAAGGCAAGGAGGGGUUAUCCCUUGUGGAAAAAGAACAGAUUUUGGGUAUGAUAAGGAUUUCGAUAGGAGGUAUACGCUUGGGAAAUUAUUGGGUCAUGGUCAAUUUGGGUAUACAUAUGUUGGCACAGAUAAGUCUAAUGGCGAUCGUGUGGCGGUUAAGAGAAUUGAGAAGAACAAGGUAACCUUUUAUUUUCUUUACUUUUUUUUUUGGGGGGAUUGGGGGAGGGGGGGGGGUUGUUGUUGGCUUCGGCUUGGUGAUAGAUAUUUAUGGUCUUAUUUUCCUUUGCCUUAUCAUUUUUCCUUGAAAUGAUAUAAUUAGAGACUUCAUUUUCGCUGUUUGAUUAGUACAGUCAGCUGCUUGAUUUGAUUGAUUUGAGUUCAUAUUCUCUCCAAUAAAUGGUUUAUUUUAGAGACUGUGUUAGCAUCUUCUGAUCUUUCAGAGAAAGUUGGAUCCUUUUGGUUAUCGGAAUCAAGGAUACCUUGAAACAUCCUUAUAAGUUCAUGAUGAAAUAUUCACCAGUGGAAGUUGGGAUACCAUACGUUCUAGAAGGGUAUACUGCUACGUCCUUUGGGAUUCUGCUCCUUUCUUGAUGAUUUGAGGAGUAUCUACUGUUUUGGUUGGCUCAAUGGUCAAACUUUAUUCUUCUGCUCAUUGCCAUUUAGUUGGUGAUGUUGAUGAUUAUGUUGUAAUUGGAGUAUUUACUUAGAAUGAAGUCAGUUAUAGUGAAGGUUUUUACGAUUUUCAUUAGUAUUUCCCUAAAUGAAAAAUCAGCAGUUGGUUAAAUAGUCGUGGAUUAGUUGAUUAACCCAGGGGAAAAAGGCUCUGAGAUACUGCAUGGUUUUGUGUGCUGAGGUGCUUCCUACUGGUGUUGGAACAACAUAAGCUGGACUGGGUUGAAAUUUGAUAAAAAUAAGUGUGAAUGUGCUUGCCAUGGAUGAUGACCUUCUUGGCUUGCUGUUUAUUGGCUACACAAUGUUUCAUAGCAGAAGGAAGCGCUAUUUAUUCAUGAUGUUAGCAGAUAUUUGAGAUUUUUUUCCUUUUUGGCAGAAAUUUGCGUAGAUUCCAUUUAGUGGAUAAUAUCUCCCGCAAAAAUAAAGUUCUUGUAUGGGAAAGGAACGAAUAGAAAGAGCAGUUAUCUUAAUGUAUUUUUUCUGAUUCCAUGGCAGAGUGAAGCAGGAGAAGACUAGGAAAAUCGUGUCAGCAAUGAAGACGUAUUCUUAUCAUGCUGUAGAAUCUCUGAAAAUGGCAGUUAGUUAGUUAAUUGUAUGAGGACCUCAAAGCUAGAAUAAUUUCAGCUGUAGUAAAAGAAUAUUCUAUUCAAAUGAGAACCUUAAUUCCUGGUAGUUUUCUGCUGCAUGAUGUUUCAUGAGUCAAGCAGGUUUACACAACAAUGUCUAUUUGUGGAUGUGAAUAUGGUGAUCCAGAACUUAAGGAACCCCUCUUUGCUUUGUAUGGGUUUAAAACGAAUAAUCAAAAAGGGAUAUGCUUCUUUUCUAUGCACAUUGGUCAUGUGACGUGCUUGAUAUCUUCCUGAAUGUGCAUCCACCAACACAUAUGUUUUAGAGUCAACAGUGCUUUUAUUUUUGAAAUUUAAUGAGCUUUGGGCACCAUUUUGUACUCUGAAAUCAACUGAUGCAUUUUUCUUAGAUGGUUCUUCCAAUUGCUGUUGAAGAUGUCAAACGAGAAGUAAGGAUAUUAAAAGCUUUAGCUGGCCAUGAGAAUGUUGUGCAAUUCUAUAAUGCAUUUGAGGAUGAUUCUUACGUAUAUAUAGUGAUGGAGUAAGUUUUAUUUUGGAGCAGUAUUUUACACGGAAGUUUUUCUUUCUUUUUUCUCCCUGGUAGUAAUGUUAGUUAACCGAGUUCUUGAUUUUUAUUGAUUUUAGGUUGUGUGAAGGUGGAGAAUUACUGGAUCGUAUUUUGUCCAAGUAAGCAUCGUGAACUAUUUAAACAUGAUUGUAGUUGAACCGGCUAUGCUAUAUAAAAUGCAUUCUUGAUUAAGAAAGAUGAGUGUAGGACUUAACCAAGAAUUUCUUCUGAUCAGAAAAGACAGCCGAUAUACUGAGAAAGAUGCUGCAAUAGUAGUACGUCAGAUGCUAAAAGUUGCUGCUGAGUGUCAUUUACAUGGUUUGGUACACCGUGAUAUGAAGCCAGAGGUAUUUGAAAGUUGCUAAUUACCUGUCUGGUCCUAUGCCAUGUGAUGUUGCUGCAGCUUCUUAUUCAUUAUUGUCUCUUUUAGAACUUUCUUUUCAAGUCACCAAAGGUGGAUUCAUCCUUGAAAGCAACAGAUUUUGGUCUUUCUGACUUCAUCAGACCAGGUGAUUAGAUGUUCUUUUAUUUUUUAUUCAAAGUUCAAGAUCUUAUGUUUCUUGUUUCCCCUCGGAAUAAAAAAUCCAAUUACAAUACUGUCUGAUGUACUUUCCUUUAGUUCUUUUUCUAAUCAGAGCUUUGAUGGUCGAAGCUGGGUGGGACACUGAUACGUAUUUUUCCAAAUUUUUUGGCUUCUUUCAUGCAUAUAUUGCUUAGAUACUCUUUUUACUUUUGGCUCAGUUCGAGUUUCUGGGUGUGGGGGUUGAAUUAAAUUUACAAUGUCCUAUAAGUACAGAAAAGUUCUAGUAUAUAAUGCAAAAACUGUCUUUGUCUUAAUUUUCUAUAUGCUUGGUAGCAUCUGGAAGAUUUAUAUGUACAUUCGUUGUUUCGUUGUUUCCUUUUGUUUAAAAAAUUUAGAUUUGGUUAUUUGUUUAGUAUAUCACCUAAUCGACUAAUGAUCAAAUCCAGGGAAGAAAUUUCAAGACAUUGUUGGUAGCGCGUAUUAUGUUGCUCCAGAAGUACUGAAGCGCAGAUCGGGUCCUGAAUCAGAUGUAUGGAGCAUUGGCGUUAUAACAUACAUUCUACUCUGUGGGAGGCGCCCCUUCUGGGACAAAACUGAGGAUGGCAUAUUUAAGGAGGUAAGGAUGCUGCAAUAUUUGCUAUCUCUUUCUGUGGAAUUGAAACUCAUAUCAAUGAUAUCUCGACUUUAUCCACCUUUAAUACAGGUGUUAUAUAAAAAGUCUCAAGAAUCUGGUUAAGUGGAAUGAAAGCUCCCUCUUAUUUCAUUUUACUUUUUCUACAAGCCUAGUCUUUCCCGAGCCACAUCCAUAGAUCAUAUUCCUCUGAAGCUUAUUUGCUUCUCUCUCUCUCUCUCUGUCUUUUUUAGUUGAUUUUUUAUUCCUUCUUGCUUUCUGCUUCCACAAGAGAAGAUUUUUACAUCGAAUUAUUAGUUUUUUAAGGAAUAUUAGUAUUGUUGGCUUUACAACAUUUUUCUCUAAUUUAUGCUUUGUUAUAUUUUUGACAAUUAUAUGUGCUAUAUUUGUUGUUACAUGGCAUGUAACUGUAGAGUCUAAUACUUUCAGGUUCUCAGGAAUAAACCUGAUUUUCGUCGUAAACCGUGGCCAAGCAUAAGCAACAGUGCUAGAGACUUUGUAAAGAAAUUACUGGUGAAGGAUCCUCGUGCCAGACUUACAGCUGCUCAAGCAUUAUGUAUGUACUUUUAUUCUGAUUUUAAAAGUUUGUGAGCUUCCUGUAAUGCAUUUUCAUAGAUAAGAAAACUUGAGAACAAAAGUUCCAUUAUUUAUCAUUGGCAGAAGACAUAAAGCUGAUCAAUGUAGAAUUGAUUGGAAUCAAUUUUAGUGCAUGCCUAUCCCGUUUCACCUCCCUAUCAACAAAUUUAUAGACCAAUAUCAAAAAAAAUGUUUUGGCCCUUUUUUUUGUGGGGCGGGGGAGGAAGUGGGGGUUGGGAUGAAGAAUGUGCUGCUUCAGUUUUUUAACUUUUCAGAUUCUUCUGUUGACCUUUCUUUGUGACAUUUUUGAAAAACAAACACUAUAGUCAACCUUUAUUCAUGUAAAAUACUGCAACUGCAACUUAUGAGAAUUAGUGGCACAAAAUGGGGUCUCAGUUCUGAUGCUGUAGGUAGAUGGUGUCACAACUUGUGUAUUGUUCUUAUUGCUUGCAUAAUCGCUAGUUAGUACAAUCUACAGCUCUAUUGAGCUUUAUAGUCAUAGCGUUGUAGUUUCAUUCACUUGGAUUUGGGUACCUAGAGAUUGAAAGUCAUACUUUAGUUUACGUAGGUCUUUUGGUAUCUUAUUAUGGAUAUGUUAUUGAUGAUUGAGCUUAGCUUGUGUUCUACUGUCGUUCUUGAAUGCAUUCUUGCAUAUGCACUUUUACACAUAUAAGUCGCGUAUUCAGGUUAUCUCCAGAAGAGAAUAAUGAAAAAACAAAAUCAAGAUUUUCAAUGUUACCUUGUAAACCAUCUUUUAGAUGACAGGAUAACAAGUAGAUUCUUGUCGAAUAAGCUUAAGGUAGUGCCCUGACAUAUGAUAGUAUGGGGCACAAUGCAACUGUACGAGUUCUCGGUUUAAUCCUAUCUCAUCCCAAACUCUAGAUAAUGGAUAGCAGUCAUUGAGUUUAACUUUUUGUUUAUUUUGCGUGGUGCUGAAGAAAUAUGACGAGCACUAAUAAUCAUUUGAACAUUUUUGCACCAAAUAUCACAGCAUAAGAUUCUAUUUGAGACAAACAAGUGUGCUUUUCUGAAUUUUUGGCUUGGGAAAGUCAAAACUGGAAACUUUAGUGGGCAUUGAGAUAAUCAACAUUUUGUCACCAAGUACAUUUGUUGUGCGUCUUUUGCACUGUAAGAUAAUCUACUGACCUUAACCAAUUUUUCCAGCUCAUCCCUGGGUUCGAGAAGGAGGUGAUGCAUCGGAGAUACCAGUUGAUAUUUCUGUUCUCUCCAACAUGCGGCAAUUUGUAAAGUACAGUCGUCUAAAACAGUUUGCACUAAGGGUAAGUCUCUUCUUGUCUCUUUAUGAUUGUGUCAGAACCUAUAAUGACCAACUCGAAAUGCACGUCUUAUUAUGAGGGUCUUUUAUUGCUUUCCAGGCUUUGGCUAGCACACUUGAUGAGGAGGAAUUGGCUGAUCUCCGCGAUCAGUUUCAUGCAAUUGACGUGGACAAAAAUGGAUCUAUAAGUCUUGAAGAAAUGAGACAGGUAUGUGCUUUGCAAGAGGAGGCAGAGAGGUUGUCCUUAUAUUUCCUUACUAUUAUCAGUCUGAUUAGCUUUAUCAUAAAAGUUGCUUUAAAAGGUUCUUCCUUAGAAAUUUUUAUGCACUAGAUUAUCUUAUAUUUCUUUCCUCAUUCAUAACUUCUUCAAUUUCAACACAGGCCCUUGCCAAAGAUCUUCCUUGGAAAAUGAAGGAUUCACGUGUUCUUGAGAUUCUUCAAGCAGUAAGCCUGUUGACUUUGAUUUAUGGUAGCGAAUAGCGGAAUUUAUUGACGCAGAAAAUUUCCAUAAUUUUAACUUUUCUGUUGCUAGUAAAUCUACUAGUGCAAGAUCCUUCCCGCAUACGUAUCAAACAGCUAAACAGAUAAAGGAUCGGGAACCAAAUGGUUGAUAGUUGUGGGAUGGUCUCAUUUUAAUCUAGAUAAUUAAGCAUACAUGCAUGAAUAAGUAUAAAACUAGCUUCAAAAGGAAUGCUUUUUGUUUGCUCAUUGUUGUUUUAAGAAAUUUAGCCCAUUAGUCCAUGUUUCAGAAUUUGGUGUUCUUCUACUACCACACAUGCUUACUUUUGUUGUGAUUGUUAUUGCUCUUCUGUGAUGUUGAUUGAUAAUCCAGCUUGUUCUCAUCAUCUGGAGCAGGUAGAUAGCAACGCUGAUGGGCUUGUGGACUUCUCAGAAUUUGUUGCGGCCACUUUACAUGUCCAUCAGCUGGAGGAGCAUAAUUCAGAGAAGUGGCAACAGAGAUCACAGGCUGCUUUUGACAAGUUUGAUGUUGACAAGGAUGGAUACAUAACACCAGAUGAACUCAAAAUGGUCAGCGUUUUAUGGUGUAACCUAUUAAGUGACUAAUGCUGUUAUUCUCUCAAUUGAGCAUAAAUCCAGAAUGGAAGAUUGAAUCUUAUGUUGCUUUGUCUGCUGCUUUCUAUUACGUCUAUUUGCAUUUGCUGCCAUAUUGCCUUGGACAAAAGUAGCAUGUGUUUAUCCAUGGUUUUAAUUGCUUCCUGGAAGCAAAGUUUGAGAGCAAAACAUUUCUUUUAUACUUUGUUCAAGCUGCUGCGACCUUUGGUGUCAAAAACAAAGAAUGUCUAACAUGCUUGUAUGCAAGUAAGUGGAUGUCUAUUUGAUUUGUUGUUCGUUCGCUAACAUGAUAUUUGUUGGCUUGCAGCACACGGGUUUACGAGGCUCUAUAGACCCACUCUUAGAGGAAGCGGAUAUCGACAAAGACGGAAAGAUAAGCUUAGCAGAAUUUCGUAGACUGUUGAGAACUGCUAGUAUGAGCUCACGAGUUGUCAGUAGCCCAACUGUAAAUAAAGUUCCGCGGAAGUUAAUAGCUUAAUACAGUUUUGCAUCUUUUGGUCUAAUUGAGGAUGUCAAAACAGUUGGAUUUCAUCUCACUUGUUAAAAAUUGUUCGGCAAAUCAAUAUUUUACGUGUUCGCUCUCGCUCUCAUGCUUUUGGAAGGUAGUUGUUAGAGGGACGUAUACAAAGUAUCAUUUGAAGGGCACCCCAUGUAAAGCUGAUUUGGCCUUCCAAAAGAAAAAUCGGCUAGGUGUGAGGUGUAUCUUUCCUGUACAUUAUAUUUGUUAGCGUUAUGAAGCACCGCUGCUUCCCGCAUGAUGUAUCAUAUGGUGGUAAAUUACUCAAUAAGAUAUGAUAUGGUUGUCCAUGAACUGGGUACUACUGGCAUGAGGUUUGUGUAUUCGAGGAAAUUGUUGCCUUUUGAAUCUCUAGCUCUCUCUUGAUGUUCAAUUUAACCUUCGAAUUACAUCUGUUUUACUGGUUCAUAAUUUUCUUCUUAUCCCAGAACCCGUAUAAAAGUAAAUUUAAAGCAGAGGGGUUCUAAGAACUAGGAUUACUGGGAUAACAAAUCUAAACCCCUCUUGAAAUGGGAAACACUGAAGUCAUUGGACCAAAAAUGAUUGAUAGUCAAAUGAUUCCAAAAUUCACGUACACACACACACUUAUCUCUAAACUAAGUUGGAAAUAUGUAAUUGAUCUCACAAUUGAAUCAUCCAGGAAAUGACUUCUCCCAGGGUAGAAAAAGAAUUAAAGAAACAUUUCUGCUUGCGUGUGGUGUUCAGUGAUGAAAAAUCUUUAUUUCGUGGUGCUAUAAUCAUUACUUCAUCGGGCAUUUGAUAACAUAACUAAAAUAUAUAACUAAAGCAAUAAAUAAGCACAUUGCUGGAAAUCCAUUCAUGUAAGAUAACAUAAGUCUAAUAUUCAUGAACUAGAGUUUCUAACAAGCUUGUCUUUAGCUAAAGAUGUCCAGCAAAUUGCUAAGACUACAGCUUCAUUUCUAGCCUCAUAUAUUUGUAUCUGAAGACUCAGCUGUGUAGGACUCGGACUAGAAGAUCACUGGGGAAAGAACAGGCUACCACAACAUACAUAUAUGCAGGCUAUGGGGCUCAUGAUAUUUAACACAGUGAAAUAUUGAUGACAGUGCUUGGGGACCUUCAGAGGAAAGAACACUUCCUCAAAUAAUUGGCUAGUCCCUCAGUGGUCGCUUGCCCUUGUCUCGAGGCAAUGGCUGUAUCAUGAAAAAGCAGUUUAUGUUUCAGAUUAAAGAUGUUUCAGGUUUUGACAUUUAUGCACUACCAUAAAGUUGUAGAUAUUAUGUAACACAAACCUUCUGAGCUGUAGAUCCUGGAAUUGCAAGCUCCAAAUCAGUUACCAUAUCAGGAAUAUCACCACUUUUCUCACCAUUACCACUUCUGUCUUGACCAGAUGAUCCAUUUCUGGCAAUUUCCUUGCCAAAAAUGCAAGGUGUUGAAGCAUUCCUGGAAGAUGGCUUAUUGAUGUGCGGAGUUGCAGCAGCUGAACGCAGGAUCAUCAUCACACCAGGAUCAGAUGGGACAGCAGAUUGAUUUGCCAAAAAGGGCUUUGGAUGCAGAGAUGGAGUAUGCCUUGGAUAUGGACCAGAGGAGACAGAUUGAGCAACUGGAUAUGAAAAUGCACAAGCCAUGACAGCUGAAGGAUCAAUUGCAGAUCUUGGAAACAUGGAUCUAUGUCUUUGCUGGCGUUGCACUUCAAAAGCCCCAACAUCAAAUUGCAGAGAAGUCUUUUCUCUUAACUCUUUGUUCUCCUUUGCAAGCUUAUUCAAGAACAACACUUUAGUUGACAGCAAUUUAAGGAUGUUUAAAUCCAUGAACAACACUGUUAGAAGUCAUUACCUUUUUAAUAUCUUGAAGAAUUGCUGCUUGUUCAGACUGUAGUCUGCUGACUUCAGAAGCUAAAUCUUUCAGUGCUUGGAUUGGGCUGAUAACGAUCGUUGCCUCGUCAUUCUUGAGCCUAACUGAAUCUGUAUCUAUUUAUCAACAAGACACGCUACAUAUGUUAAGGUAUAAAAAUGCUUCAAAUUCUAAUCUACACAGAAAGCGUACCAACCAUGGGAUUAUUGUCCAAGGUCCACGGAUGUAAAAACCAUAUAUGAAGUCAAUCUUCAAUUACUCAACAAUGAUUUGGCCCAGUCCAAAUUGAAUUAUCCCAAUACAAAUUUUUAGAAUGUCCAUAAAACUAUGCUUAGAGGAAUUCAAAGGCAUGUUCAGACGUGCUAAAAUGAAGAAGAAAAGUUGUACGAUAAUUUGAUUAAUCAAUCAAUUUAAUAUGCACAUUUAUGCUAAAGUAAUGGUGCUACUGCCUGUUGACAUGGUAUCCUUCAUCUAAUCAUACUCCCAAGUAUUGAACUGCAAAGAAAAGGAGAACAUCUGCUUCACCAUGGAACAGGAUAUAGAAGCUCUUUAUUUUGAUGAAUGAACAUAAACACUUGCAUGAGUGCUACAGUUUCAGGAAACUUUGUCCACGACGUUAGCACUUUGCAGGUUGAAAGAAUAAACUUGAAACAUCUUAUGAGUUUAGGGAAGAAGACAUGCUCUAAGGAUGCAAAGUCUUCUUAAAAAUGAAGGAAGAGGUUUAGAAACACUUUACCUAGUAUAUUUCCCAACUCUUGAAAAUGCUCAUUAAGCUCAUUUCUUCUCAACUUUUUGCCAUGUGCUUGGUGCCUUGUUUUUGCAACCACUGCACCGUUCGAAUCUAAAUCAUCCUCUUGCCUGCAAAAAUGUGAGUUGAAAUAUAAAGAGAAUGAUGAAUAAAUUGAUUCUUGAUACAAAACCUAGAAGUGACUGCAACAUGUCCAGAUUUAGAGCUGAAGAUUUCCACAUGGAAAAAGCGCAAUCCAAUGUGCUUUAGAAAAGACCAGUUAGAAGAUAAUAGGGAAUGAGAGGACUAAAGUAAUUUCUGCUAUCUUUGCCUUGUAAUGCUACUUUAAACAUAUCCCUUCUUCUCCUCUCCUCUAUAAGGUUUUAGUUACUAGAUGGUAAAGUGGUGUUGAAAUUUCUGAAUAAAGUAGAAGGUAAAUCUCCAGCAUAAUUUGUCAAAGUUCUUCCAUGAAAAGAGCUUCCAUCAAAGCUUUUUGUUUUUGACAUCUCUAGUCCUGAGUGAGCAUAAGGUGCCCACAUUUAACUUUGAAAUGUUAAAACAAAAUGAGUCCAAAUCAACCUCCUAAAACAUUAUUGUAGGUAAAAGUAGUUUGAUUGCCCAAGUAAAAAGGUUCAAUAAUGGAACUUAGUCUUCCAUCUUAGGAGGUAUACAUUGACUCCAUGUAAAGAAAGAAACCUUCACUUUCUGUUCAUAUGUCGUUGGAUGGAAACAACCUGAAUGUGAAGACAAAUUGGUAGCAGACAGAUUUUCUGAAUGUUUAAAUUACUAAUUAAAUAAUACAAGGGGGAUAAUAAACCAGCUAAGGCCUCCAAAGUGCCGUGUUUGUUUUCAAAGAAAAGUCAUUGUACUAAAAUACAGCACUGGAAAUUUGAAUAGGGAAGACUUAUCCUCAAUUUCUUAACAUGCAGAAGUUUGUGGAACCCGCAAUCCCCAGUCCCACCACCCACACAACCCCUAACCCAAAAGAAAAGUUUUUACGUGCAUAAAAUUGCAGAGAAAUCAGAAAAGGCUACAACAUAAUCUCAAGAAAGAACAAAGUUACUAUUUCGUCCCCAAUAGAUCGACAGACAUAAUCAAAGUCAUAACUUCUUCAUUCUACAUUUUACAGGAUCAAGCGAUCUGACUUAAAUGAAAUGCCCAAAAAGAAAAUGAUUUAAGCAAAUUGAUGCACACAUUCAACAUUAAAUUUCUUAGGACAUUGUGUUUAAUUCUUCAAAGGAUAGAAUUUUAUGCAACAUGUUUCCCCUUCCCCAAAAUUUCUCAUCCACCAUUACAUCUGGAAAUCACUUUGAUACAUGAAUUCCUAGUAUCUAGAGGAUAGAUAUUAUGCGUCCUAUUCCUUUUCCCUGAAAUUCUCACCCACCAUUACCUCAUGCAACCACCUUGAUAUGUGAAUUCCUAGUAAUGUUAACUUAGCACCUAAAUGCAAUUCUUCAGAGUUUGUGCAAGAUUUACUAAGGUCCUCACACAUACAAUUCCUCAUCAAUUCUUUACACUGUUAAGUUGUCAUGAAGCUUUUGUGAAAAAGGAUGUUCUGCAUACAUAUCGAAGGCAAUAGUGAAUGCACGCCUAUAUCACAUGCAUUUCUUCUCCCAAGUUCGAGUUGAAAGUUAAACAAGGAAAUAAUACUUAUAUAUAACUACCAGACAAAGCAUAUCUAUUGCAAUUGCUUUCAGCAUGACUUUUAUGUUGUUAUACGGCACAAACAUGUAUAACAAGAGAACCCUACUUGUUAUUGAAAAUUCAAGACCCAAAUAAUCUAGUUGUAGUAGUUAUGAUCAACAAUGGCAGAAUAAAUACUUAAACCAGAGGGAGAUAGUCUCAAAUCCAAAUAGUAAGGGUAUAUGAAAAAUUUCCAAAUAUUUCAGAUUAUUUACUUUCAUAUGAGAUAGAGGGAAAAGAAAACACAAAAAGAAAGCAGUACAAAACUAAAUAAUUACUUGCUACCAGAUUAAAGUGAUAAGGGAGAAAAAUCAGGGGGAUUGUUAAAAAUGCAAAACAUACUGAAAAUGUCCAAAAGAAUGUAUCAAAGGCAUCGUUUUCAUCAGUACGCACACCGUUAUUUCUUUCACAUCAUAUAUUGUUGCUAGCACAAAUAAAUUAGUCACUAUAUCACAAGCCUCCUGUUACUAAGAAUAACUAUACAUAUGAAAGAGCCAUCAAACCUUCUUUUAGAGCCAGAGCUAUAUGGUCCAACACCAAGCCUCAGUUCUGCCAAGGCUCUUUUCUCUUCAUUUCGAGAAGCAUGGUCAAAACUUCUGUACAGUCCAAUACCAAGCCUGAGUUCCGAAAUGGCUCUUUUCACUUCAUUUUGAGAAGACUGGUCAGAACUCUUAAGUAUUGGAUUGAGACUAAUAGGUUCAAACACUUCCUUAAAUAUUUUCUCUCGAUCCAUUUGAUGAUAUGAAAGCACGGUGUGAAGGCAAAGAAGAUUCAGAUGAAUAAGGAGGCAUUUGCUAGUAAAACACUUGGAAAUCAAUUUAUUUCAACAUCUUGAUAUGAAUAACAUGAUCGAGGUAUAUAGUGAUUUUGGAGUACCAAAAGGUUUACCACAAUCCACUGCAAGAGUAAAUGAAAGCCAGGUUCCAAUAGUUUCCUUUGUCGCUACACCAUCCUAGGCAACCUUCUCUUUGGAAAAGUCAACGCUAGUAAAUACUCAAUCUUUAAGUGCAAUUGUCGUUCGUGAUCAGUAACUUCCCGAAAACAUGAGUUGGGAAGAAAAUAUUAAUGAGGUGGUUACACAAGGAAUCACUUUAAGAUCUUUCCCUAGAUAGGUAUCACUUUAAGAGUUGAUAUUACAUAAAAAAUUAUCAAUGAAUCGCAACUGCAACUCACAUUAAUACAAAACACAAUGAGAAAACAAAGUCAGAAUUUCAUUUGCCAUCACGUAUAUUUGUUCGUAAGCUGCAAAAACUGUUACUACUUCAUGAGCUACUUGACAGACAGAUUGCAACCCAAUCACUGUCAGUCCAGUACCUAGCAUGAUUUGGUAUCUAUUAUGAGAAUACACAAUCACAGGUAAAAGAUCUUGUAUCACUUCCACUGAUCAAGAUCUUAUCUUAAGUCAACUUUUGCUCUAUGAUUUCCUAGAGGCAAUUCUGUGAGGUACUUCAAAACACUAAGUUUAGAAUCAAACUAAUUUCUUAAAUAAUUGCCAAAAUCCCAGUCAUCCAGCCUAGUAGUAUUCUGAUAAGAAAAAAAAGAAAAUCACAAGAUCCUAUUCUGAUAAGAAAAAAAAGAAAAUCACAAGAUCCCCUUCGAAUACCUCAACACGGUGAUUCAUCAAAAAUAACAAUCUCAACGAUAUAUAACUUACAUAAAAAAUGCAUCCGUAUAUGUGAUCUUCUUGAGUCAAUGGAAACUACAUUUUACAGGCGUAUUGUAUUCAUAGACACGAUAAAGGUAUAUCAAUAAAUCAGUGAAAAAGUUUUACCACUAAGUACACAUUUAUGCUCGAGUGUGCUCGAUUCUUUCUAAUGUAGCAUGCAGAGUGAUUGAAGAAUUAUUACUACUACUACUACUAAUGGGGAUAGGCAGUCAGGAGCUCAACCCCUAACCUCCUGCAUUGUGGAGCAGGCAUCCGACCACUUGGCUACCAGCUGAAUGGCAUGCGGAUGAUUGAACCUUAACAUCGCAUGAAAAAAUUUAUGGAAUCAUCCUUCAUCAGAAAUACUAUCAGUUUAAAGUACUAGGAAUGAAAAAAAUUUAUGGAUCAUCCUUCAUCAGAAAUACGCUAUCAGUUUAAAGUACAAUUAUUAACUACAAUUUUCUACUUCAUGACUGCCUAUGCACACUUAUUUUCCUUUUCUUACUAGCACAUAAUUGCAGAACUUAAAUACAGGAUAGCAUCGGUUGAAAGUGGAAUUUUUAUUAACAAAAUCUUAGGGACAUCAUCCAACUAGCUGACAUGGCCAACUCAAGAUUUUGGCAAGAUGUAAUAGGAUGUUUCCAUUACAGCGAGAGAUGAUCUCUAUACCAGGGAUGUGAUUUUGCUGCCUGAGCUGGAUUAUACAUUCUAACCAUGUCUUCUCUGGCGUGCUUAUUUGACCAAAAUCCUAACUUUUAACUCGAUCACUACGAUACAGUUUCUGAGAUUCCCACUCUUCACUCAUGAUGCAACUUGAUAACACUCAAUUAUACAACUUAGACAUAGCAGGAGAAGCAGCACCAUACACACUAUCCAGCAUUUGGCAUCUCAAUACCAAUUCAUUUACAAGAAGGUCACUACUUAAAUGUUGAUGAUGGUAAAAUGUGUGCUCCAUUGUGGAAAUCUCUUUUCUAGCAUAGAGCUCUUCUCAAGUUGACAAACUGUUCGACUAAGAAUGAACAACCCCUUUUUAUCCUGGGUCAGUCCGCAAUAUCUACACUACUCCUAAGCUAAGGAGAGGGCUCAACUGGGCCAAGGUGGGCUAAGUGAGCAACUUGCAUUCCAGUAAUUUAGGCAGUUGUCAAAAAUACAGAAACAAGGGGGAAAAAAAAGUGCAAUAAAUCUUUCUAUUAUCGCGAGAUUAUUGCAAGUAGUCCAGAAAGGGAACGCUUCCUCAGAAACUAUCCCAUAAUACCCAUCUAAUUCUGUAUCCAUGAAGAAAUGGUGUAAACAGAAGACGCCGAAGAAGUAUACAAGUAACUAAGCAAAAGUUGGAGCAUGCAGCUUGUACCACAAGCCAAUAACAAAACAAGAAUUCGAUAAGCAUAAAAACUAUAGUUAAUUCAAGCCCAGAUAUACUGACAACGAUUACUUGUACAAAAAGGAGGAUAACAACAAACCUGGAAUCGCUAAUGUCAGAUUGACAAUCAACCAUCCAAGUUAAAGCUGUAAUAUUUAGUUUUCAGAGUGGAAAUAGCAGAGAAUUAGUGAGGCAUUUUUUACAAGAUAAAGGAAACUUUCAAGAAGGUUUCUCAAGAGGAUUAAGAUUGUCAGGAGGGUUACUUUGUAUUCGUGGUUGAUCGUGAAUUUGACGUAGAUUUUUGGGAUUCUUGAAUCCAGUAGUAGAGUUCCCUGGAAUGGGAAGCUGGCAUUUUUUGGGGCAUCAGCAGCAUUCAACAAUGGACUCGUGCAAGUGGAAAGAGCAUGUCGUAUCUGCUGAUCUGGCUCUCCAUUGACGAAAUUUCGGGUCGACCAAUAGUACCAUCCCAGGAGUUCAUAGCCAAACACAGACCAAUUCCAUUUUUUUCCCACACGAUGAUAUUCUUAAUAUUAAUUAUUUUUUAGGCAAUAACUUCUAUUAAUUUAUCCUACCAAAGAAACUGAACUCUUGAUUUUUUUUUAUUUUUACUUGGAAAAAAUUAAAAUUUAGAUUUUGCUGGAAUUUUACUACUUGUUUCUCCCUUGAAUUAAAAAAAAAAACUUUUUCCUAACUUUUUUUUUAAAGUACAACACUAGUCCUAUACGAAGAGUAUAGGGAGGGAAUGGGGAUAAACCCAACAAAAUUAUUGAGAAUUCAGAAGAAAGUAAAGUACGUCCAUUUUCAAUAAUUCUAAAGAAGAAAUAUAGGCAAGGAAUUUUGAAUUCCAUACAUACUAAUACUCAUACAGAGUAAUUUUUAGAUGGGAUGAACACAGCUAAUUCCUUCAAGGGCACAUAAAAAAUGGUGUGUACACAAGUAGCCUCGGUCAGGGAUCCAGCCGCACUGCUCCUAAAAGCUUAAGCUGUUAGGGCCAGCUUCCCCCUAACUUAAGUACCGUAGCCACUCCUAGCCAACCUUCGAUGUGGGACUACCAAGAUUUGUAAAAUCGGGAUCCUACGUAGGAUCGAUUUUAAUUUCACAGAAUCGGAUUGUAGGAUCGUAAGAUCUCACCAAAAGUUUCUAAAUUUACUAAAUUAAUGAAUUUCAGAUUCAUAUACCAUUUUGUAUAUUUUAAAAGAUAUCAAAUAAAUAAGUUACUCAUAAAUAUAUAGUAUUUUUUACUUACUAUCUGAUAAGUAAUAAAUAUAUAGCAUUUUUCUUUUCACAGUUAUAGCCAUUGCAAAGUAAUACUAUGAGAAAAGCCAGACUAAAUGUUGAUUUGAGCUGAAAAUUUAGAAGAAAUUAGAUUUUUCAAACUUGUUAACAAAAAGUUCAAAAGCAUACGUCCACACGGCAGCCCAUCUUUCUGGUCCAAAUAGGAAAAUCUGGGCAAUUAAUGCACCUUUCUAGCUUAAGAACAAAAAUAAAGGCCAAGAAAUCAUAAGUUCGAGUGACACCCAAUAUUUUUCGGCUGAAGGAAUGUGCUUUAAGGAAUGAACUUCUUGGACACAAAGUCACCUUACAACCUUGUCUAAGAAGAAGAAAAAGUUAUCUGCCGAAAUAAAGUUUUCAAGAUAUCAGAAACUCAAUCUUGCAUGAAAUGCUUAGCUAUUGCAAUCAAUAGCAAGCAAACAAUAAUCUAUGUGAGUUGAAGCACUCUUGUAACAAUGAAGGUUGGUUGGUUGGAGCUGCAGCGGUGGAGAAGAAGUGAAAACUGAAAAAUGAAGGUUGAAAUGAAGAAUGAAGAAACGAGUCAACGACAGAUGACUGAGUAGAGGAGAAGAAUAGGAGCUUUUUUGACUUUUUGAGAAAAAAAUUGUUACAAAAUUACAAUUCUUUGAUAAAUUACAAACCUACCACAAAUUUUUUCAUUUACUUGCAAAAUGGAGUCUCGUAUUUCACAAAUUUGCAAAAAAUUAUAGGAUCGUACGAUCCUAUGUAGAUUAAUACAAUUUGCGACUCUGAAUAUGAUUCGGAUCGAUUUUGAUUAUCCGGCGAUCCGGAUCGCAAUUUUGACAACACUGGGGACUACUUUUUCCCCUUCUUGGUGCAUCUUGCAUUGGGUACUAUUUCACCCCCACCGAAGGUCUGGCUCUAAUACCACAAGUAGCCUCGACCAAGGAUCCAACUGCACUGCUCCUAAAAGCUUAAGCUGUUAGGGCCAGCCUCCCCCUGACUUAAGUACCAUGACCACUCAUAAUCAACCUACCUCUUAUUAAACCUUUGUUAAGAUUUUUGAACUUUACCCUAGAAAAUGAAUAAUUGACCCUCUAAAAACAAAACCUCCACCCUCUAAAAAAGAAAAAGAAAGAAUGGUUAAUUUGCCUACUUUACAAGAGAAUCAAUCUUAAAUCAAGUUAACUUGAAAAUAAAUUUUAAAGUUAAUCUCAUACAUUGACAAUACAUACACGUUAACGAGUAUGAAUGCAUAUCACUUAUUCAUUGGUUUUUGAUUAAUAAAAUUAGGAGCCAGCUUCCUCGUGCACGAGGUUUACGGCUAAAAAAAUAUAUACUUAUAAAAGUCACUUAUUCAUAAAUGGAAAUUGAAUUAUCGGCCGGUCAAUGUUUACCAUGUGAGUUUUAUCUCAAAUUUUUUAUCCUAGAUUCCGAGUAGAAAUUUCAAUAGCAAACGGCGUCGUUGGGAGUUGCCGUUUGACGGUUCCCCUUGCUAGCAUUUCCUAGGGACAGCGCUGUCGUUUUGGUUUUCUGCGCUAUUCUCUGUGUCACUUCCCUCCAUAUUUUCUGCAGCAGCUAUCGAACCAGCAGAAAUCCUCCGCCAUGGAAACUACAAAAUUCGAGGGCUGUUGAGCGCCAUAAAUUGUAGUAGAAAGGAAGUUCUGGUAAAAGAAAAAAUAUAUAAUGAAGAUAGUGACGUACAACAUAAACGGCUUAAGGCCUCGCAUCUCCCAGUUCGGCUCCCUGCGUAAGCUUCUCGAUUCCCUCGACGCCGAUAUCAUCUGUUUUCAGGAGACCAAGAUCUCCAAACAAGAACUAAGAGCCGAUUUAGUUAGAGCUGAUGGUUAUGAAUCUUUCUUUUCUUGCAAUCGCAACUUCGACAAAUCCCGCGCUGGUUAUUCUGGUACUGACCCCACGUUUUCCUAUAGUGUGUUCACUGGUACUAAAUUCGGAAGUCCAGAAUAAAAGAGAUGAAGAUUUUAGACAUGGGAUUUUGUGAAAGUUUUUAUCUUUAUGCUGAAUAUUGGAAAUUCAAUGGUUUCUUAUUUUAGCAAUUGCGCCAUUUAAUUUGCUUGUGAGUUUUUCUUUUGCUAUGCACAGGUGUUGCGACAUUUUGUCGAGUGAAGUCUGCAUUUUCGAGUGACGAGGUGGCGUUGCCAGUUGCUGCAGAGGAGGGCUUUACUGGGCUUCUUGAGAGUCCUCGAGUAACCGGACCUCAAAAAGAUGAAUGCUCUUCAGCUUUAGAAGGGCUUGAGGAGUUCUCUAGAGAUGAGCUUUUGAAAGUUGACAGUGAGGGGCGAUGUGUCAUCACUGAUCAUAGCCAUUUUGGUAAACUAGCAAGCUUUUGUUACUGGCUAAAAAAAAAAAAAUAUCUGUAUUGCCCCAGUGGCUUAAGGUUGUUUGAUGUGUGGAGCUCUUUCCUAUUUAGUAUCUAUGUUUAUUUUGUCUGGCUUUCUCUGAAUUGACUAAAAAAUUCAGGAGUAUAUGAAUAUUCGAAAAAUGAUAAUAUUGUUGAAGUACGGCUUGAUAACUGGAUUUUGCAGUUCUUUUCAAUGUGUAUGGGCCUCGAGCUGAUUGUGAUGAUACAGAAAGAAUUCAAUUUAAGGGCAUAUUUUUUAAGAUAAUACAGGUAUUUUUUAAAACUUUUUUCCUUCUCCAUUAGAAUGAAUGAUUCAACAAAGUAUUAAAUUUCUGAAGCUAGAUCUAUUUUUCAUUGAUAGUUUAGAUGUAAAGGCAAAGGCAUUUUGGGGGAAAUGCUCUUUUACGGUUAUGCAACACAUUUUUAGCUGUACAAUGAGAUUGUAUGAGCCUAGUAUUUCAGGGGAAAAAAAGGUGACAUGUUAAUAUUCCCAUGCUUCAUGCUUUACUCUCUUGGAGUCACACUGGGUGUUCAGGCUAAUUGCUUUUUGCAUACAUAUUCGAGCUGGUUGUGCACUACGGAAAUCAUUGAAAGUUCAAAUUCUUCUUCUUAUGUUCAAGAUUUAUAAACUCUCUGAAGUUGGAAACUAUGCUGUUGACUUGGUUACCAUACCAUGUGAUUUCUAAAAGGGAAUCGGGGAAGGUAGUUCUGGAUCUGGCAUGUUGUUAUGUAUCUAUCUGCUGUUGUUUGGUUAAGUUCUAGGAUUUUGCCCUUUUGCAUUGGAAUUCCUGGUCUCAUGAGAUGCAAUGUUUUGUGAAAUAGAAUGUUGGGUCACUGGAAAAGAAGCACAGCAAAUUAACUGGGUGUUAACAAUGAAAUGUAUUAGAACUGUUUCAGUCAAUAUCUUUGGAGAUUUGGCUUGGCUUUUUCCUUAGCCAAUACUUUUGAAGUUAAACUCUAUGUUGGUUAUGACAUUGAUUGUGAAAUCUCUGGCGUGUUUAACUAAAAGUAUAGAUGCUCAUUGAAAUCGAGGAUUUGGUGAGAUAUGUCACCCAGAGUAUUCCUCCAAUUCCACCCAACUUCCUACCUCUGCAGCGGCAACCAUUUAAGAUUUCCUUCUUGUGUCUAAGAAGGUUAUAGAUAAUGUCUUUGAUGGAUUAUAGUAUGACUAACUUGUGGUGAUAGGAAUUAUUACUGUUAGAUGUGUAAGCUUCAAACUCUUUGAUUCAUGUUAGCAAUUUCCUUUUAGAGAAGAUGGGAAUGUCUUCUACAUCAAGGACGGCGAGUAUUUGUUGUUGGGGACCUCAACAUUGCUCCUACUGCGAUUGAUCGUUGUGAUGCUGGACCAGAUUUUGAGAAUAAUGAGUAAGCAAUUCUUUAGUUCUCAACUUACUUGUAGGUUUUGCCAUCACAAUGUACUUUUUUGAGUUAAUGUGUAUUUUCAUUGAUUGCAAUUUUUUUCUCACAGGUUUCGGAGGUGGUUUAGAUCUUUGUUGGUGGAAAAUGAAGGACAAUUUGUCGAUGUUUUCAGAACAAAGCAUCCUGACAGGUUCAUUUUGUUGAUUCCUUUAGUUUUUUUUUGUUCUUUCCUCUUGAAGAAAUGUGUUUGAAAUGAUGAAGAUUUUCAUUCUUUGGGAAUUAUACGUAUGAGAUGAUUUUGGUCUUCAAAAAAUGUUCUUAAGAAUUUAUGAAUGUAGAUGUUCUCAAAGUGAUAUUUGUGUUUGAAAUGAUGAAGAUUUUCAUUCUUUGGGAAUUGUAUACGUAUGAGAUGAUUUUGUCUUCAAAAAAUUAUUCUUAAGAAUUUAUGACUGUAGAUGUUCUCCAAGUGAUAUACUGUCAGUCAAGUUAUUUAUUAAGUUUAACUGUCUAGGGUAUAAUUUCAAUUCUAUGAUUCUCUGAUUACUCAUUAUACUUUCCAAGUGAGUUUUAUUCUUUUUGUUUUUUCGUGGAUUUUGAUUUCAAAUCACUGUGCAGAAGAGAAGCCUACACAUGCUGGCCAACAAAUACAGGUGCUGAGGAGUUUAACUUCGGGGCAAGGAUUGACCAUAUUCUUAUUUCUGGAUCAUGCUUACAUGAAGAGUCAGGUCAGGAAGAGCAUAACUUUGUAAGUUGCCAUGUUGAGGACUGUGAGAUUUUGAUCCAAUUCAAGCGGUGGAAACCUGGAAACACACCCAGGUACUAUUGAUUUUCUUGGAUUUAAGUGGAUGAAGAAAUUAUAAUUAUUGUCAUGGAAAUUUGUAAAUUACCUUUUCAAGAAGUGUAGUUAGUUUGGCUGUACAAGCAUAAAUUAUCGUUAGGCAUGCUUAUGUGUCUCAAUUAUUUUGCAUUAUUGUCCGGAUUCAAUAUGUAAAAUUGUUCUCAUCUCUAUUGGUAGGUGGAAAGGAGGAAGAAGCAUUAAAUUGGAAGGUUCGGACCAUGUUCCUGUCUGUGUGAGUUUGGAAGAAAUCCCUAGUGUUCCACCACAUGGUGCUCCUUCAUUAUCUACUAGAUACUGCCCCCAGGUCUACGGAUGUCAGCAAACACUAGGUAUGAGUUUCCUAUUGUACACAGGAAUUGCUUAUCUGGAUGUCACGAGAUUGGUUUCACUUCUGGAAAUCCAUUUACCAUGUCUUUUUUUUGUUUUUUUUGUCACUAUCUAGUAGUCUUCCAUUUCCAUAAGCAAUAUGUUUUAAUGAUUAUACUAAGGUUUUUUUUUUUCUAGUUUGAAUUUUAAACUGAAGAUUAUUGAUGUUGCAUUACCAUUAGUGAGAAAACUUUUGAAUUUUGAACUGAAGAUUGUAGAUGUAGCAUUACUGUGGGUGAGCUAAUGCUGUGCUGGGAUAUUAUACUGCAGUGUCGAUGUUAACAAGGAAACAAUCGGCUGAGAGUUUUAAGAAUUCUGAAGAGUCAAGCUCAUUUUUAGGUACAUCAGAUGGACCAACUUUAUACAUUCUUUGUGGGAUAUUAUUCUGAUGCACCAUUUUUCUUGAUAUAUGACUGUUAAACUUUAGUACAGAAGCUCAUGACUGCUCUGAAGGCUCAGCACGUCAGCGUUCCUGUAGCACAACUUUUUGUUUGGGUAGCAAUCUUGCAAAAGCAGGGCCUCACGUGGAAACCAGGAAGAAAGCAAGACAAAGUCAGUGGUCUCAGCUCUCACUCAAAUCAUUCUUCCAGAAAAGUUCCAGUCACAGUGAGACUUUUGCGAGAUCCACCAAUGACAUCAAGCUUAGUAGGACAGAUGUCUCUGCUUCUUUCUGUUGUUCCAACAGCUCCCCAGUACACGUUGAAGUGAGUAGCAACCCAAAGGAUUGCAUAGCAGAUGUCUCUGCAUCCAGUCCAGCAGACAAUGGGUGUGAUACAAUAGCAGACUGCCAACUUUCAGUAAAAGAAAAGUCUAAUGUUGCCUUAUUGGAGUGGCAAAGGAUACAACAGCAUAUGCAGAACAGUAUACCUCUUUGCAAGGGCCAUAAUGAACCUUGCGUUGCUCGAGUUGUGAAGAAAGCUGGCCCUAACUUGGGCCGCAGAUUUUAUGUCUGCGCUCGCGCUGAGGUAUAGAAAGUUGGUUCUUAGUCUGUCUUGAGCUUGCAGUUUGUACACUUAUUCAUCGUCUCAAAGAAUUUUGCUGCUGCUAAAUUACGAAGAUAAGAAUUCCCUUGUCAAAUUAAAUAAAGAAAGAAAAUUUGCUCCUUGUUGAUAGUUUUAUGCAUUUGAUGUUGAUAUGGCAUUCGAAAUUAUUAUAAUGGAUUGAGCAAUGCUAGAGAAAUUCUCCACUUGAUUCAUCUGUCUGUAUAACAGACUUCUAGAUCUUCUAAAUUCCCAAUUUUAGGAACAAUCUUAGAUUUAUCAUUGUUGUCAUUGCCUCUAGUUUUUCAAUUUCAUGUUCUUUUAGAUUUUUAGGCUUAAUUUCACUGCUGGAGAUUUUAGCUGUUCUCACCUUGCCUAUUGUCUAUGCUGAAAAUAGAAGGAAGUAUAUGGCUCUCUCUCUCUUUCAAUCACACGCUUUCUCGGUUUCCAGUUUCUUGAUUGGGCUACACAGGUUCACGUAGAUUAAUAUUUUUGUCGUGGAGAAAUUGUGCUGAAAAGUGAGAGUCUAUGUGAUCCUUUUGGUUUAACUUAUUACCAAGAAUAUGUCAUUUCCCUUCUUUCAAAAUGCUGCUUUAUUCAUUCAGGGGCCUGCAUCUAAUCCUGAAGCAAACUGUGGGUAUUUUAAGUGGGCUGCUUCAAAUUCCAAGCACAAACGGUGAUGUUGACUGAACUCGUGGUCAGGCUGUGUCGAGAAUGAAACCGUCUUAACAUUUGCUUAUUCUUCACUGCCUUACUGAUGAAGUUCCAAGUAUCAGGUACGAUUCAAGUGAUAUUGAUUUAGAUUUCAAAUUCAACAUGUUUCUGGCAUGCUUAAUGUCUCUGAACUUCUACUCUGAACUUUAAAUUACAGGAUUCUGCUUCCCUGUAGGAUCUUGUACCAUCAUCUUUUUGAGAGAAAAAUCAACUUAGAAUUUGUCCUCUUCCAUACCGGAUCAAGAUUUCAUGUUGGUUUAUUUAUUAGUGAAGAUUGAAGUUUUAGAGUUCUUGAAUUCAAAUCUUACCAGAUUGUAUAUAGUAUUUGUGUUAUGCUACCAAGUGAUGGGGAACUGGAGAUUCAAUUGAAUCUCUUCUAUUGGUUCCAUAAAUAUGAAUCUAGACGUUUUUGGUACUCUAAUCUGUUGUUCUCAGAAAAGGGGAAAAGGAGAAGAAUAGAGCUGCUUCACGUUCUUAGUAACGAAAUAAGUAGACAGAGAGAACUGUAGAGUGUAAUCACAUAAAAAGCCAUAAUAAUGUUUACAUAAUAAUAAUGUGAACUGGGGCAAUUAUUAUUAUUAUUAUUUUUUUGUGCUGCACUGUCAAUAUGAAAAACACAAUCGAUAUUGGAUAUAUGUCAUGCAAUCUAAUUUCAAAUCUAAAAUUCAAUUAUUACACACAUUUAUCUAUAACUAUUAGUAAAACUUGACGGUGUAUAAAAAAUUAAUCCAAUAGCGAUGAUAUUACAUUAGUGCAUGUUGACAUUAGCGUAUAUCAAACAUAAUCCUCCGAGGAUGAUGUAGCCGUCCAUCACAAGAUUGCUUAAACGAAUCAAUGAACCUGUCUUCUUGUCGUGGAAUACAAUAAAAUGUCUCCAUCAAGAUUGCAUUAGAUUGCUAGUCCAUUACGAUCGGUACGCAUAAUUAAAAAGAGCUGCAGCCGGACAGGGCUAAAAUUUGAGUAGCAAUCAAUCCGGUCAGAUUCACCAGAGAAAAAGCAAAACAAUAAAUGAUUUUACCAAAAAUAAGUGUCUGUGCAGCACGUUGGUGUAUACUACUACACCAAAUUUGUAGUUGUGGAUGCAAAUUUGGAAACGUUAACUUCUCUAAUUUCAUAUUGUCUUCUACAGACAAUUUCAUCCCAAGUUAAAUCAAAUCACUACCAUGUUUAAGAUAGACCCCCUCCCCUACAUUCUGCCAAAUUUGAUGUUGCAGUGUACUGAACUUCUCUAAAACUGAGUGCGCUACAGCUAAGAUAAAAGAUCGUAGAUCAAACAGGGCACGAUCUUUUUACUCUUGGAGGUACACACCACAUCACAUCUAAAGCGUCUCUUGGAGUUGGAGGCUAUUUCUUCUGUCUCCAGCUUCUUCUCGUCAAUUUCUUCCAGAUAGAUUCACGCGCACUUUAAUUACACCCUUGAUGAAGGAGGGAUUCGUCACUAAUUAAUUCGACUCCAUCUACUUUACAUGAAUCGUUCAAUUCAUGAGAGGCGCUCGCUUUUCUUUCUCUUCGAUUUUCUGUUUUUCUGGCAUAAAUGGUGUAAUAGUACGGACAGGUUUCGGAUGGGUCCUUCGCUUUCUUUGUAGCCAC